Equus caballus (horse) is the source of this 2096-nucleotide long non-coding RNA. The record is from Ensembl. Lineage: Eukaryota; Metazoa; Chordata; Mammalia; Perissodactyla; Equidae.
GUGAAAGUGGCACCCAUCACAUCCACUCGCAUUUCAUUGGCUUGAACCUAGUCACGUGGUCACACCUAGUUGCAAAGGAGGCUGGGAAAUGUAGUUUCCAGCUAGGCAGCUCUGUGUCCUGCACAGUUUCAGGAGAUUCUAUGACCAAAAGGAAGAAGAGAAAAGUUGAGUGAUGGGGGACCAUUCACAGCCUUGACCCACAGUCUCCAAGCCUAGAGUUCUAGCCAGCUCUUCUCUUCCUCCUCCAAGCCAUUGGUCACCCAUUGUCCAUCCAGAAGGAUCAUCCUAGAGCGCGAAUAUGAUCACGUUGCUCCUGUGCUGAAGAUUCUUCUAUGGCUCCCCAGUGACUUCUGGAAUCAUAAAGUCAGUCAACAAAUACUUGUUGGGUCCUGUUGUGUGACAAACGGUGUGCUAGGAAAUGAGACUUUACUGAUAUGAAAGGUCUUAGGCCCUGACAAGGAAAAUGAGUGAUGAAUUAUGCAGGCAGCGAGCUCCAAUCUGACUUCUGUGAUGUGUGCGGCUAUCAUUGCACAAACUAUUUCGUCCCCCGGAUCCAGGAAAUGUGGUUUUACACUUGCUCAGACGUCUUUACAAAAGGGUGACAGCAGAUUUCAUAAGUAGAGAGAAACAAGAAAACUGGACUGUUUUUCCAGAAACAGCGUGAGCUGGGAUGCCCGCCUCCUCCUGGCCCCUCCGAGUGUGGACUCAGCUCCCUCACCCAUGUUGGGCUGGAGGCCAUGGUGUCAGCCCCAACCGAGAAAUCAGGUCUGGUUCCUUCCCACAACGAUGGCCAUUCAUCAGGCGUGACACUCAGUGACUCAGGGGACAGGAAAUGGGAUGUGGCAUCUCCUGUCGGAGAUUCCGAGAGUCGGAGUCCAUCUGCAGCAUGGGCAUCCCCGAGUAAGAUGAGAUGGAAUUCAUUUAUUCAGUGCUUCCUUCCACUAGUAUUUAUUAAAUGCCUAUUUUUUUUGACAGUCACUUAUCGAGACCUUGGGGAUACCUCAAUGAUCAAGUCAGACACAGCCCAGCUUUUGCGGGGUAUAUGUAUUUGUACAGGAGACAGAGAACAGAAUAAACCAACUAGGUGAUUCCAGCUGGUUUGGUGAGUGCUGAAAAGAAAAUAGAACGAUGCAGAGUGAUGAUGGGGGAUGGGAUAGUGACACUUCUUUAGAGGUGGGGGCAGGAAGGCUUAUCUGUGGAGGUGACGUCUGAGCUGACAUGCCGGUGAGUGGAGGGGAAAGCAAGUUCCAGGCAGAGAAAAGAUUCAGUGCAAAGACCCCAAGACGGGACUACAAAUGGGGUAUUCCCUGGACAGAAAGAUGAGCCAGGUGACUAGAGCAUAUUGAGUAAGGAGGUUUUUCUGGGUAAAUCUUACCAAAAUUGAAGCCCAGCCAUUAGACCCCAGGUCUUUGCUCAGUGUUUGAACAAAGCAUUUUAUGUUGCUACUCAGGAGGCAUUGAAUGUCACAGCCAGAAGAACUUUAGAGGUCAUUCAUUUAAGCAGUGAAACUGACCACACAGAGAUUUCGCUGGGCUGUCGAAAGCCUGGAGAUACUGACUUACUGAGGCAUUGGAAUUGACAGUGCCUAACAGCACAGAGCUCUGUGGUUUAUAAAUCACUUCCGUACCUAUGAUUUCAGUAAACCCUCUCCCUGACCAAUGAGGUAGGCCUCUUCACUCCCAUUUUACCUACGAGAAAACUGAGUUCCAGUGAGAUACAGAAGCAUACGCCAGUGCAGCUAGUAAAGAGGCAAUGCUGGAACUAGGACCCAAUCAUCCUGCCUCUAUGCUCCCUCUGUUUCAAGGUCCCCAAAUCUCUGAGCCCUGUCAUAGAAUGGAGAAAGUUCCAUGUUGGAAAUAACAACAGCAGGAUUUCAGCCCCAGCUCUGUGCCUCUUGGGCUGUGUGACCUAGGCCAGGUUCUUUCCCACUUUCAAGCACUUUCACCCUCUGAAUUGAUAAUGACGACUGCCUUAUUACGUUGAAGAGACCUUGUUGAGACUACGGCUGCACACAAGCAUGAGGAUUUCACAGCUGAGAGCAAAGUAGGGUAGACUUGAGUUCAGGUCUCAACUCUUCCCCUUACCUGCUGGAUGAC